GACGAACGCUGGCGGCGUGCUUAACACAUGCAAGUCGAGCGGUAAGGCCCUUUCGGGGGUACACGAGCGGCGAACGGGUGAGUAACACGUGGGUGACCUGCCCUUAGCUCUGGGAUAAGCCUGGGAAACUGGGUCUAAUACCGGAUAUGACUCCAUGACGCAUGUUGUGGGGUGGAAAGCCUUGUGCGGCUAGGGAUGGGCCUGCGGCCUAUCAGCUUGUUGGUGGGGUGAUGGCCUACCAAGGCGACGACGGGUAGCCGGCCUGAGAGGGCGACCGGCCACACUGGGACUGAGACACGGCCCAGACUCCUACGGGAGGCAGCAGUGGGGAAUCUUGCGCAAUGGGCGAAAGCC
Molecule: ribosomal RNA, 354 nt
Filed under: uncultured bacterium
Lineage: Bacteria
Description: bacterial SSU rRNA
Rfam family: Bacterial small subunit ribosomal RNA
Source: RNAcentral